RNAcentral lists this ribosomal RNA (585 nucleotides) under uncultured bacterium. Its description in RNAcentral is "bacterial SSU rRNA". It matches the Rfam family "Bacterial small subunit ribosomal RNA", at positions 100 to 714 of the family's 1533-position model. The record is from RNAcentral.
GCACGGGUGAGUACACGGUGAAUAAUCUACCUCCGAGUGGGGAAUAACUGAGAGAAAUCUUAGCUAAUACCGCAUAGCACUUACGAGUCAGAGCAGCAAUGCGCUUGGAGAGGAGUUCGCGGCCGAUUAGUUAGUUGGCGGGGUAAUGGCCCACCAAGACGAUGAUCGGUAUCCGGCCUGAGAGGGCGCACGGACACACUGGAACUGAAACACGGUCCAGACUCCUACGGGAGGCAGCAGUGGGGAAUUUUGGCGCAAUGGGGGAAACCCUGACGCAGCAACGCCGCGUGGAGGAUGAAGUAUCUUGGUACGUAAAACUCCUUUCGAUAGGGAAGAUAAUGACGGUACCUAUAGAAGAAGCCCCGGUUAACUUCGUGCCAGCAGCCGCGGUAAUACGAAGGGGGCUAGCGUUGUUCGGAAUUACUGGGCGUAAGCGCGUGUAGGCGGGCUUUUAAGGUCAGGGGUGAAAUGCCGAGGUUCAACUCGGAAUUGGCUUUGAUACUGGAAGUCUUGAGUCCGGGAAAAAGGUGAGUGGAACUGGAGUGUAAGGUGAAAUUCGGAGAAUUUUCGGAAAGAACACCAAGU